RNAcentral lists this long non-coding RNA (1138 nucleotides) under Anolis carolinensis (green anole). RNAcentral describes it as "lncRNA (ENSACAG00000043333.1)". The record is from RNAcentral. Lineage: Eukaryota; Metazoa; Chordata; Lepidosauria; Squamata; Anolidae.
UUACAUCGCCGCCGGCUCCAGCGGCGCGGGAGAGAGUCGGUUCGGGGUGACACGGGCCCCGCGCGGGGUGGCGUGGGCCUCCUGUACAAACUUCCCCGAGCAGCCGCACAAAGUUGUGGUAAUUGUGUCACACGGCGAACCCCCCACGCCGCCACCGCGAGCGCUCCCCCUCCUUUCCCCUUCCCCUCCCCACCCUUGCUUGCCUGUGCCCACGCAGACCAAUCGGCGCGCCUGGCCCGGCCCACGUGACCUUUGUUGACUUACGUCAGUCACAGCGCUCCGCUCGCGCUCAUACGCUCCGGCUUGGGAGCCGCGAUUCUAGUUUGGAAGGGCAAGGGGAUGCGCUCUCGCUCCUUUUCAAGCUCGACUGCAGGGUUUCUGUCGGCACGUUCGCGGAACCACACACACACACGAGGCUAAACCUCUUUCCAGAAGGAUUGUACUAUUUUUUUCUGAAGGAGACGCGAUUUCUCCCCAGGGAAACAACUGGAGUACUUCUUCGCCUAAGCAGGAUCACCCCUGUUGGAAACUCCAGCUUCUACCAUCCUUCUUUUGGAUUGUCUUACUAGCAACACUUGGCCUUAUAAAAUAUUUCAUUUUCUUUCCUAAACCAUUAUAAAGCUAAAUGUGUUCCAAUAGUGUUGUCGACCGCGUUUUAAGGGAUCGGGCCCUUAAGGAGAGACCCGACCCGGUCCUGAGGGAACGGACCUUGGCGAAGCCAAAAGGAGAAUAUGAGCCGCAAUACAACCUGGAGCCGAAAUGAAGAAGGUCCGCCAAAGAUGAAGGAAAAUCCGCCAAGGAGUCUUUAUUGAGCAAUUCAGCUGAAAAGGACACUAGUAGUGAUCAUUCAGUCUACUAGCGUAUCAUAUGUUUCAAAUAAAGCCAUAUUUAUACAAUGUUUCGGUCUGACAGCCCUUUGAAUUUCCCGCCCCGCUCCCCCGCCCAUCUGAUCGCGGAUAGGCUGGGAGGUUGAACGAGGCGGGCUUUCGUUUCCCGCCUCGCUCUGCUGGCCCAAUGGGGAGCCGCUUUUUGUCCCCACUCGGGCCAAUCAGAGAGGAGGAGGUGGGAGCUAUUGAAACAAUGAAGUGACAGGACAGGAAAUAUCAGAUUAAUCCUUGCCCGGCCGAUUUCUAAAGGA